UAGAAAAAAUCUUUUUUUAGUAUCAUAUGCUAAACGCAAUUUUCACCUUUGCUUAUACACUGACUACGUUUUGCGAGACUUUUGCUAUACAUUUCAUGUUCUCUUUUCACCAUAGGAGUAUAAUUUAGUUCAACUUGCUGAUCGGAAUCGUUUUUUUCGUUUUGCUUUUUCAAUUUUCUUCUGGAACUUUUCUCAGAUCAUAAGUUUUUAGAAGAUACAAUAUGUAAUCACUCCCAGCAUUGCGGAAAUGCCGUUGCUUCGUUUUUCAGUUGAAUGCUGAAAUUUAACAUUGGUUUGUAAUGAACUUAGUUUGUCCUUUCUGAAGACUAUUGCAUGCAAAGCAUAUUGAUGCAACUUUGAGUUCAGAUUAGGCUUUUGGAAGUUCUCUGGUUCAAGCGCAAAGUUCGACAUUUGGGAAUUGAAGGGGAUUCAAGUCUCAAACAUUAGUAGAUAACAUGAGAGAGUAAAGAAUACACUAACAAAGAGAACAUUGUUGAUGUGUCUGUGAAUCAUCUGCUUUCUAGAAUGACUCUUCGAACGUUUUCUUCUGUAUCUCCUCACAUUGAUGAAAAUGGGUGUUACCAUAAAAUUUCGUUGUUGUUUUCAACUAGGUCGGGGGGGGGGGGAUGGGGAUGAGAUUUCUACUUUUGUUACAAAGGUUGACAUGUGGGGAAUGUAAGAGGAUUUGAGUCUUAACAUGACUAGGACACAUCAAGGUGUUGACCAUGCAACCAAGCCAGGUUGAAUUCAUUUUUGUCAUUUUUGUGGAAGACAUAUUGUAGAUUAGCUACAUGACUUCUUUUGUAUAGCACUAACAAUUUGAUCCAUCUCUUACGCAUUUAGCAUGGACCCUACUAUUGACUGGUUGCCCUGAUCAAUACAAUGCCUUGGUAUGGAUUUGCUGUAGAGUGGCUUGAGUGAUGUUAAUUCACAACUCCUCUUGAUAUUUUGUGGUAUAUUACUCCUACAAACUUGUGAAGAAUUCUUCAAGACAAUGGGUUGGAUGACAUUUCAAAGGGGAUUCAAAGUUUUGAAGUAAAAGAGAUAGCCAUAAGGCAUCUUUUUUAUAUUUGUUGCUUUCUACCUUCAUAAGUUUUGCUCCUCACUAUGCCAUCAGCCAUAGAAAUAUAAGUUAUAGUUGUUUUAGAAGCCUUGAAAUUGAUGGCCAUAAACUCUGGUGCGUGGUACAACAUGGAGGAUGCAAAUUCAACCUUCUGUUUGGUAAAUGAGUAAUUACAGUUGCCGCAUAGUUACUCUAUGUUAUUCAAACUUCGGUCCUAAUUGUGCUAUAAUUUGUUUGUAACUUCCUUUUAUGCUUUGCCCCAUAUGUGGAAUUUUUACAACUGGAUCUAGCUUAAUUGACUAAGAUUCCUACUGAAUAAAUGAAAUAGGACUCCACCAUCUAAUAGGUGCACAAGACUGAUUUCCCCCACUUUGCAUAUAGUUUUUAGUUCAUAGGAAGAGUUUGUCCCUUCAUUUACCAUCUCCUCUUGUACCUUUUACUAUCAAAGUGAAAUAUGUGAAGAGUCUGCAACAUAGAAUGUAGGACAUGGAACAAUCCUACCAGCAACUUCCGUCACUUCUCUUCCCGCGAAGUGACAACUAACAUUUAAAAAUGCACCUAAUUUGCCCCAUUUUCACACUCCUAUGUAUUUCAUGUUACCCACGCUCUCAGGCCUGCAACUCAACUCAAUUACUUACAAAGUUUAUUAGUUAAAGAUAAUUAAGUAAUAAAAUACAUUUUAAAAAUUUAUACUAUUACCUAUUGAUUUGAUGAAAGUAUAAAGUACGAGUAAGUAAUUUUUUUGUUUUUGUUGUUCACUGAUGUCCAGUACUCACUUUGGGACAGCUAAUUCAAAUUCGUGCCUAGAAAUGUGCACAAGACUGAUUUUCCUCACUUUGCAUAUAGUUUUUAGUUCAUAGGAAGAGUUUGUCCCUUCAUUUACCAUCUCCUCUUGUACCUUUUACUAUCAAAGUGAAAUAUGUGAAAGAAGAAGAAAAGAUGUGAUGCCUAAUGUUAUUGACGAUUUUCAGGCAUAGGUUAUUGCUAGUAUUGGUUAUGUUGAGUCCAACCUAGACUAGCAUAAAGUAAUGGUACUCACUCUUCGUCUAUCCAUAUCUACGAUGAAGAUCUAAUCUUAAAUAUUAAAGACUUGUUAUUUUAUUUUCCAGCUACAUUUUUAUUAAAACUUACAAAAGUAAGACUCUUGAUUUUGUGGUCUAGUAUCAUUUUAUUCUGACGCUUUUGGGAUACCUCAUGGAGUUUAUUCUCCUCCUUGCUUUUGAAGAUGAGUUGAACACUAGCCUAUAACAUGAUCUAGGUUUUCACGGUUUUGGACUUCACCCUUGGAACUUCUAUUUAUUUUUAAUUGACAUUCGGUAGACUUAUGGUAAUUCAGAGGAGUUGAAAGUUAUGUAAAAUGCUAAGAGGGCCGUGUUAAGGUGCCAUUUGACUUAUUAGGGUGAGAAAAAUUAGAAUACUAUUCUGCAUAUGUCUUUAGUAUUUUGGCAUUAACAUGAUGUAAUACUGUUGGAUUUAUUAUCUCCUGUAUUUCAAUGUUGUAUUUUAUGAGGAUGUAAAGAUGGAUGUGUGGGUGUACCAGGAGGGAUAAGAUUAGGAAUGAAGUUAUUCGGGAAAAAGUGGGUGUGGUCUCCGUGGAGGACAAGAUGGAGGAGUCGAGACUGAGAUGGUUUGGGCAUGUUAAGAGAAGAAGCAUUGACGCUCCUGUUAAGAGGUGUGAGAGGUUGACCAUGGCGGUUUGACAAAAGGUCGAGGCAGACCUAAGAAGUACUGGGGAGAGGUGAUCAGGCAAGGCCUAGCGCGACUUCAGUUCACUGAGGACAUGACCCUUGAUAGGAGGGUGUGGAGGUCGAAGAUUAGGGUAGAAGGGUAAUAGGUAGUUGAGAGUUUCCCACUUUCUUACCAGUAGUACUAGUAGCACGCAUGUACUUUCCUAUUUCUCAGAUUUAUAUUACAUCAUCAUGUUGUUUAGUUUGUUUUAGUUAUCGUAUUCUCCUGUGGUUACUAUUUUGGUAAUACUUAUUCUUUUCUCCCCUUUCUCCCCUCUCUUUAUUUCUUUUCUUCUUUUUCUCCCUCUGCUUCUUAUUCUUCUUCCUCUUUUCCUCCUCUCUACCUUUCUGAGCCGAGGGUCUAUUGGAAAGAACUUCUCUACCUUCACUAGGUAGGUGUAUGGUCUGCGUACUCACUACCCUCUCCAGACCUCACAUGUGAGAAUAUACUGGGUAUGUUGUUGUUGUUGUAUUUCUGGGGAUUCUGCUGAACUUAUCCCAUGCAUUUAUUCAUGAAGAGUUAAGACUGUAAUUUCUCCACAAUAGAGUUAAAGCACAAGGAUAGACAAGUAUGUGAUCAACACUUUGUUGAUAUCUAUGUGGAAUUUACAUGCUUCAAAUGAUCUCUGUCUUGUUUCCCAACUUGCAAUGAAGCUAAUGGUAGACGACCGCUCGUAUAUGUUGAUGGUGGGAUUAUGCAGAGAGAGGCUACAUUUCAUCCCACCGAUAUUAUAAUAGUUGGUAGUGCUUGAUAACGUGAAGUUUAGCAUUAGCACUUUUGACAAAAGGUAAGCAAAAUGUAUAUAUAUGUAAUAAGUGAAGAGCUUAUCUGUAUAUGGAAAGAAAUCAUCUAGAGUAGGAUUGAACAGAGAUAUUGGGUCUCUUUGAGGUGGCAAAACUGAACCAUGGAUACCUAUUUGAGGUUUCAUGACAUUUAGGCAACUAUGGCUUUUGUUAAGAAUAAUACAUAAGUUAGUGUCGUUUAGAUGCAUGUUGGGGAGGGAGGAUAUCCGUCAGAUUAUAAUUUAGGCUCUUUAGUUGUUGGUCAUAUUCAGUUUGCUUCAUUUUUGUAGAGUGAUAGCAUGGCUAUGUGAUGACAAUUGGUUUGUAGAAGGGAUUGCUUCUGGUCAGAGGUAACUAUAUAGAGUCUAACCACAUCUAAGGCGGAAGGUUUAUCUGCUUAUAGUUCUUCAAUAUUAUAGCCUUAUCCUUGGUUCUUAUGUUCCUGUAUUUGCAUAAUAUUUAUUGCUUAGGUUUAGGGAUGACAAACGGGCGGGUCAGAUCGGAUAUGGGCAGGUCGAAAACGGGAAUGCAAAAAUGACUAAAUUAUUCGACCUAAUUGUAGCAAGAACGUUGCGAUAGAAGGUUUUCCCGCAACGGUCCGUGCACCGUGCCAAUAGACAUGUUUAUGGGAACGGUUCUGCAAAAAUAUUUUUUUAUGGGAACGGUUUUUCAUUCCCUCCUUAUUUCCCCCAAAAUUUGCAAACCCGCCAAAUCAACCCCCAUUUCUUUUAUAUUUUUGAUUAAUUUUAAUAAUGUAAAUAUAAAGUUAAAACAUUUUCCCAGCAAACCCACCCACCUGUUCAUUCGAUACAUCCAAUGACCAUCUCUUUCUUUUUGCCUCUGAAGAUUCAUUCCCCCCAAAAUCCUCUCUUUCACUCCUAAAAUUCAAGUCCAGAAACCUAAGAUAUUUAUACUUUUAUUGUCUUUCAACUCCUUAUAGAUUCGUCUCAAGGACAAUUGCUAACCUUCCCCAAAUCCCCAAAUUCCAAAAUCAAUUUUAUGCUCGAAUCGGAGAAGCCGUCCAAACGAAUAUAUUAUUAGUGUGGAUCGUCUUCUGCUGGAGUUGAUAGUCGUUCGUCUUUGGAUUGGAGAGAGAAAGGUGUUACUACAGUAAAAAAUCAAGGCAGUUGUGUUCUAUACCAGUUUUCCGAAGUACACUUCGUCCGUGGCUCAAAGGAAUUUGAAGACCUAUGCUCAGAAUAUAAACCAGCAGUUUGCGCACCAAAUUCAACAGUAUCAGCUGCAAUAUUGUGUGCACCUGACUUAUCAACUGUCACGCCAUUUGUUUUUCGAAUCGGGGAAGUAGUAUGUUGUUGUCGUGAAUUGAUAUCACAGUUGUAGCAGCUCGAUCGGCCAAAAAAUAGUAAUUGUGAUAAAAUAUGUCAUAGAGGCAGUGUUAUUAAAAGCGCUCGCUUCUCGCUUUAAGCGAUGAAGCGAGGCGAGGCGCAGGGUUAGCGCUUUUCUGCUAAAAAGGCGACUCACACUCAAAAAGCAUGCGCUUUUCUCGCUUAAGCGAGAAGCGAGCCAGUAGAAAAAGCGAGAAAAAGCUCGCUUAAGCGAGCAUAAGGCAUCAGCUAGGGCUUUUUUAAAUUUUUUUGGCAAAUAACCCAUCUGUUAACGAAACAUACGCAAGGACUUCUUCUCCCGCGAACUCCAUCGACGACCACUGCUGCUCCAACGACUUCUUCUCCAGAUCUCGAGAAUGUCCCAAAUUAAUAUUGAGAACCGAAAACAGUUAAAGAAUCCUCACACUGCUGGAAAAAGAAGUUUUGCUUUAGUUCGUUCUAAGUUGGUGUGUAACUAGUUUUCAUGGCAAAAAAUUUCUCAAUUUUGGCUCUUGUUUAGUUCAUGGUUGAUCACCGGGAAUGCUAACUCACUUUCAUGUAACUAGAAAAACGAUAAGCAAACUUCGGACCCUUUAUCAGCAAAGGAAGUCUUUGUAGCUACAAGAAAAAGAAAAGAUGGGCGAUCAUACAAGUGCUCAGAUGAAGAUACAACUAGAAAAAUUGUGCGAAUUAUAUUUAACUAAUGUUAUAUCGAAAUCAAUUAUUUUUUUUAUUA
Molecule: long non-coding RNA, 5634 nt
Organism: Nicotiana attenuata
Lineage: Eukaryota; Viridiplantae; Streptophyta; Magnoliopsida; Solanales; Solanaceae
Exons: 7
Source: RefSeq, a predicted model, not a curated record